ACGAGCAGAUGGUCAGUAAGGGGAGGCAGAUGGAGGCAGGAGCUCUGAGUAUGUUCUUACCCUCUUCAGCUUGCGUAUGAAGAGAGUCAGGAGGAGCCAAAAGAGCGUCGCAGCCACACAGGUACAGGCUCAAAAAUGGACUGAGAAGUUGCAAUUCGCUCAAAGAGGGACAGACACUCAAGUUCUGUGAAGGCUGCAGAGGAAUGAGUGAAAAAAGCCUCCAGUAAGGUUCCUCAUGCUUCAUGCAGGUGGAAGAGAGAAGAAGCAUUUUUCCCAAUCAUAGUAGCUCCCAUAGAAAUCACGCAAGAACAGUGUCUGUGGUCCCUGCAGACAUGCAGUUGGAGAAAAGCUUUCCCAGUUGCUGUAUUUCCUCUUUUCUGGAUCAUGCACAAGGAGAUAUGACUUCCUAGAAGCCAUCCUACAGAAUGUUGGUGGUUGUAAUAAAUAUCCAAGAUAUAAUGAAGUUAAAAAUCAAUACAAUAAUGAGUUACAUUUUCCAGAAUGAUCAAUUAUCAGGAUGCAUCUGACAGCAAACACUCAGGGACAAGUCAUUCUUCUGGUGAUUAUAAUAGUCAUUAAAACCUUAGUAUUAUUCAUAAGGAAAUAGUUGGUUUUUUACUCUUUGAUUACACCAGUUAGGCUAGCCCAUGUGCAUAUUCUUAUCCCUGACCUUUCAAAGCAAGACCCGUAUCAUCAGCAACAACAAUUAACUGAGACUGCUAAAGCACUUGUGGCAGAAAAUCAAUAUUAAUUUACUAGCUGUAAUUGUCUUCUGCUGCAGGGCAGCAUCCAAAUAUUCAGGACUUGCAUUCAGAAACAUUUAGCAAUUGUAUGAGAACACCCACAAGGACAUAAUCCCUGCCCCAGAGAGCUGGUAGUAGUCAAAAUGCUUUAUAUAAAGAGAAACCAAAUGCAUUUAGGACUAUUUACCUAAGACAUGAGAUCAAUAAGAUAGGGUAUGUCAAAUUUGCACAUGGCAUUCCCAUACACAGAGAAUGUCAAUCUGCUUCUCCUUUCUCAUAAUAUAUGAACCAAAAGGAUAUUCAAUGAAACUGAAAAGUCACAAAAUAAACCUGCUUUUUCUGCAAUGUACAGUUACUCAAGGGAAGUCACUGCCCCAGGUCUAAGUCAAGCUUGGCAGUAGACAGGAGGACAAUGCUGUACGUUUAAACAAAUAGCAAAAUAACUCAAGUAAUGGCAGCAGCAAUAACUUGAUCAUAUCUACUUCUUUAGGUACAUGAAGUACCUUUGAAAAAUGCAUCUGUAGUUAUUGCUAGGGUAAAAUCUUCUGAUCCUGUUUGGCAGCUCAGUUUACAUUGAAAAUAAACACAUGAAAAUA
Molecule: long non-coding RNA, 1339 nt
Organism: Dromaius novaehollandiae (emu)
Lineage: Eukaryota; Metazoa; Chordata; Aves; Casuariiformes; Dromaiidae
Exons: 3
Source: RefSeq, a predicted model, not a curated record